This is a long non-coding RNA of Nerophis ophidion (straightnose pipefish), 2818 nucleotides long. RefSeq lists it as uncharacterized. The record is from RefSeq and is a predicted model, not a curated record. Lineage: Eukaryota; Metazoa; Chordata; Actinopteri; Syngnathiformes; Syngnathidae. The transcript is spliced from 3 exons.
CAAUAAAGGUUGAUGAUUAUUGUCUGUACACAAUUGCAUAUGCAUUUGAAUAUUAUAAAUAACUUGCCUUGCAGAUUUGCAGAUGUUUAUUGUAAAUAGUUUUGAUAAUCCAAAAAUCCCUGGAAUAUCUUGUUGCUCAUGCAGAUAACAGAUAAUAUUAAAGCUGAGAAGUUACGUUAUUAAUUGCAGAGUAUUUAAUUUCUCUCAUAAUGGAAAUAAUUAAUACAUUUAGCUGAAAAGCUUUAUUGAUGCACAUUUCCAAGCUUUUUCAAAUAAUGUGUCAGGCCAAUUCUGGCCCCUGGUUUGACACCUGUGGCCUAAAUUAAACGUUUUCAUGCAUAAGAACUGCUACAUGAACUAAAAAUUGUUACCAUCUGUUAUGCCAAGUCAUUCUUUAUUUAGGGGUGUUUUUCCCGGGUUGUUGGUUCAUUUCCUGCUUUUAUUUUGUUUCCACGUCCUGUUUUGUGUGUGUCGUCCCUGCAGCAGCUUCACCCCUGCUGCUUGGUGAUUAUGUGUUGCACCUGGGCACUAUUCAAGAGUCUGGCUUGAAUGUGGGUGUGGGAUCAUUGUUUGGAGAUUGUUGGAGUUAUGUGCACGGCAGUAAAACAGCUGAUCAAACAAAACAGAAGUCAUCGUCAUGGACCCACUAGCUGCGGAAGCUAGCUCUCCAAUCAGCUAAACAGACUCGAGGACUCCACGGUGACGUCUUGCUGUGAAGGUCUUCCCUUCCGGGGUCCGACGGACCAGUGUGACCACAACACUUUGAGACGUGGAUCUUUAACAGGAGAGUUUUUUAUUUUUCGUUUGUUGUCGUUUUUCAAGGUUCUUCUUUUUGCUUUUCAGCAAUCUGGUUUUGUUAUCAAAGUUUCUUCUUUGCUUUUUCAGCCUCUCUGUCUCUCCUGCUCCCACGUUCUCCUCCCCUCAUGGUCUCCGGCGCUGCUAAUAAAGGGAACAGGUGAUUAGAUAACUCGUUUCAGCUGAGAUUAUCCACUCACCUGUUGGCUGCUUCACCAGGCCCGCAGGGAACGCGUGACCACGCCCCUCCCCAGCAUAUUAACUAAUGCUAAUGAUUAAAGUAGCACGUGAAAAAAAAUGCAUGAAAACACUUAGUAAGAAUAGUUUUGGUUCUACUGGAAAAGUUACAAACAUGGCUUGGAUUGAUGAAUGAAGAAUCCAUAUGAGUAAAAACGCUAUGGAAGGCUCGAAGACAAAACGGCAAUUGUACUUCCGGUUCAUGGCUCAGUCUGAACAGAAUGCAGUGAGCGAACUCGUCCAAAAGAUGGCGCCAUAGCACAAACAGCUAUUCAGUGUGUUUACUUGUUCUUAAAAAAUUAUAUUUACAUUAUGCCCGUCAAAGAAUUAAUCAGCCGCACCGUUCUAUACGCCGUAGAUUUCAAAGGCUAGGAAAAAAGUAGCAGCUCUUAGUCCGUAAUUGACGGUACUGGCUCUAAUUAGCUUCGUUAAAAGCCCACAGAUGCAAAUGUCCAAUUAACAGCUGGGUAUUCUCGUUAAAGCCAAAUCUGUCCUCCAAACGAAGGAGCAAAGUAGGGCAAACAGUCCGUGGUUCAGCUGGUAGAGAAAGAGGAAUUCGUCCUUUUGAUAAGAUUCUCAGACGUCCUGCCGCUCGAGCAAAUGUCAUGAAAUGUCAGCUGUCUGUUGUUGACGUGACGGCACACACUUAUUGCCAGUCGCACCUUAAAAUGUUGGCCUUAAAAGGUCUCGGAAGGAGAAUAGCAGGCCUGAUUAAAAUGUUAAUCCAGCACUCAGCCAAUCAAAAGGCAGAGAGUCGUCUAAUCUUGCUAUGAAUUAAUCAUUUCAUCACAUGUAGCCUAUUUUUCAAAUUUUCUCCCUCCCCCCAACGUGACCCCAAAGGAAAUAAGCGGUAGGAAAUGGAUGGACUUGGCAACACUCCCGAAAUUCAUCGCCUCUCCCGGAAACCUCCCGGGACAAAUUUUCUCCUGAAAAUUUCCCGAAAUUCAGGCGUAGCUGGAGGCCACGCCCCCUCCAGCUCCAUGAGAACCUGACUCAGCAAUGUUGUGACCCUCUUAAACAGGACAAUACUGCCAUCUACUGUGCAUAGAAUAGAAUACAUACUUGCCAAACCGCCCGGAUUUUCAUGAACGGUCAGCGAAGCACAAAGCGUCCGCAGAGCAGCAUCGUUCACGACCCAGUAUUAUGGGCCACCUCGCAAAAUGGAGACCCGAUGGUGUAACUUAUGCUGAGACAAAGAUGGCUAUGCUGAUAGCUGGAAGUUACAUUCCGUUCUCAUUUGCGAAUGUCUACAACAAAUCCAUGAUAUAUGUUCCCGGAUUCGGAGAUCGCUCGCAAAUACGCAAAUGCCAGAACAAAGGUUACUCAAAUAGUGAAAGGUAAGCGAUGUUGUUGUUGUUUUUUUAGUAACCAGCAGGCACAGUAUAGUUAGCAGAACAACUGUGUUUUUAUUACUGUGUAUUUGAUAGGUGCCGUCGGAAGUUCAACUACCGUAUUUCCUUGAAUAGCCGCCGGGGCGCUAAUUAAUUUAAAACCUCUUCUCACUCCUGCGCUUAUUCAAGGCAUGCGGUAAAAGUAAGCAGGCGCUAAUAAUUUUAAAACUUCUUCUCCCCCUGCGCUUAACAAUGACAUGCAGUAAAAAAUUGAGUGUGAUAUAAAAAAAGGAAAUAAAUUAUAAAUAAUUAUUCUGCGGCCGCGGCCCGGUGGUUGGGGACCACUGUUCUACAACAUGUCAUUACGCCCACCUUUACACCAUUCUUUCUGCGUGCCGGUCGCAAGCAUGCACAUCGCUGCUUUCUCAUACGAGAUUGCAAUGCAUAGUUGAUCA